RNAcentral lists this small RNA (1123 nucleotides) under Pongo abelii (Sumatran orangutan). RNAcentral describes it as "retained intron". The record is from RNAcentral. Lineage: Eukaryota; Metazoa; Chordata; Mammalia; Primates; Hominidae.
AGCUGGGUCGGCAAGCAACAGGAGCACGGGUCAUCUUUUCCCCGGGGGCGUCGGAAUGGACCUGUGCCACCCAGAGCCCGCGGAGCUGAGCAGCGGGGAGACGGAAGAGUUACAGAGGAUCAAGUGGCACCGGAAGCAGCUCCUGGAGGACAUCCAGAAGCUGAAGGAUGAGAUCGCAGACGUGUUUGCCCAAAUCGACUGCUUCGAGAGUGCAGAGGAGAGCCGGAUGGCCCAGAAGGAGAAGGAGCUGUGUAUUGGGCGCAAGAAGUUCAACAUGGACCCCGCCAAGGGUAUCCAGUAUUUCAUUGAGCACAAGCUGCUGACCCCUGACAUCCAGGACAUUGCACGGUUCCUGUAUAAAGGCGAGGGCCUCAACAAGACAGCCAUUGGUACCUACCUGGGGGAGAGGUAAGAACGAGUGGAGCCUUAGCGAGGCAGGAAAUGAAGGUGUGCAGGUGUGUACAGGUGUGUGGAUGUGCAGGUGAGAGGAUGAAUUAUGUUAGGAAAGUCAUCACUCCUAGGGCUUGAGGGGCUCACGGAUCAUCCCCUCCAGAUUCUGAGUCAAAGCCUGACUGCCAUCAUUCAUUUAGUCAUUUAUUCAACAAAUAAAUGUUGCUUAGGGUCUACUGUGUUCCAGGCACCAUCCUAAGCCAUAGGUGUACACCAGUGAAUAAGACAGACAAAACUCUUGUCCUCAGGAGGUCCACACUAGUGGGAGAGACAGGUCUCAAUAGAUGUAAAAUAUGUUAGAGAAUGAUAAGCUCUGUGGAAUACAAAUCAAGCGGGGAAGGGAAGUCAGAAAUGCCGGGGACCGGCCAGGCUCGGGGCUCACGCCUGUAAUCCCAGCAGUUUGGGAGGCCGACGCGGGCGGAUCACGAGGUCAGCAGUUUGAGACCAGCCUGGCCAACAUGGUGAAACCCCGUCUCUACUAAAAAUACAACAAUUAGCCGGAUGUGGUGGCAGGUGCCUGUAGUCCCAGUUACUCAGGAGGCUGAAGCAAGGGAAUCGCUUGAGCCCGGGAGUUGGAGGUUGCAGUGAGCUAAGAUCACACCAUUGCACUCCAGUCUGGGAAACAGAUCGAGACCGAGACUCCGUCUCAAAAAAAAAAAAAAAAAAGAGAAAA